CGGCGGACGGGUGAGUAAUGCCUAGGAAUCUGCCUGGUAGUGGGGGACAACGUUUCGAAAGGAACGCUAAUACCGCAUACGUCCUACGGGAGAAAGCAGGGGACCUUCGGGCCUUGCGCUAUCAGAUGAGCCUAGGUCGGAUUAGCUAGUUGGUGAGGUAAUGGCUCACCAAGGCGACGAUCCGUAACUGGUCUGAGAGGAUGAUCAGUCACACUGGAACUGAGACACGGUCCAGACUCCUACGGGAGGCAGCAGGU
RNAcentral lists this ribosomal RNA (257 nucleotides) under uncultured Pseudomonas sp. RNAcentral's name for it is "partial 16S ribosomal RNA". It matches the Rfam family "Bacterial small subunit ribosomal RNA", at positions 96 to 354 of the family's 1533-position model. The record is from RNAcentral. Lineage: Bacteria; Pseudomonadati; Pseudomonadota; Gammaproteobacteria; Pseudomonadales; Pseudomonadaceae.